Molecule: ribosomal RNA, 301 nt
Filed under: uncultured bacterium
Lineage: Bacteria
Description: partial 16S ribosomal RNA
Rfam family: Bacterial small subunit ribosomal RNA
Source: RNAcentral
CAGUAGCCGCGGUAAUACGGAGGGGGCUAGCGUUGUUCGGAAUUACUGGGCGUAAAGCGCACGUAGGCGGCUUUGUAAGUUAGGGGUGAAAGCCCGGAGCUCAACUCCUGAAUUGCCUUUAAGACUGCAGAGCUAGCAGGUGAGAGAGGUGAGUGGAAUUCCGAGUGUAGAGGUGAAAUUCGUAGAUAUUCGGAAGAACACCAGUGGCGAAGGCGGCUCACUGGCUCAUUCUAGACGCUGAGGUGCGAAAGCGUGGGGAGCAAACAGGAUUAGAUACCCCGGUAGUCCCUGUCUCUUAUAC